RNAcentral lists this long non-coding RNA (1190 nucleotides) under Olea europaea (common olive). RNAcentral describes it as "long non-coding RNA (OEUR_LNC008504)". Lineage: Eukaryota; Viridiplantae; Streptophyta; Magnoliopsida; Lamiales; Oleaceae. The record is from RNAcentral.
UCCUUGGUAGCAGGUCAUCACGUCCCUUAUCCACACUGGCGUGACUUCAGUGACUGCCAUCAUUCUAAAUUCUUUUCCUCCCUUCUAGAUAAAGCAUUUGCCACCUGAUUUUCCAUCCCUUGUUUGUAUUGUAUUUCAUAGUCGAGCCCCAAUAACUUGGAUAACCAUUUCUAUUGUAGUGAGGUAGUAACUCUUUGCUCCAGUAGGUACUUGAGUGAUUGGUGGCCUAUUUUAAUUAAGAAGUGGUGGCCUUCAAGGUAAUGUCUUCACUUAUUCAUUGCUGUAAACAAUGCCAGUAGCUCAUUUUCAUAGAUGUAUAGGCCUAAGUUCUUGCUAUUUGUGCCUUUACUUAGAUAAGCUAAUGGCCUCCUAUUUUGCAUUAUGAUAGCUACAAUCCCUCCAUAACAUGCAUCAGUUUCAAUUAUGAAAAGUGAGGAAAAAGUCUGGUAAUGAUUACACGGGUGUGGUACUUAUAGCCUUUUUUAAUUCCUGAAAAGCCACACCAACAGCCUUACUCCAAUUAAAGUUGUCUUUCUUCGGUAAUUCAGUUAGGGGUCUGGCCAUAGCCCCAUAACCCUUUACAAUUUGAGAAUAAUCAGCUGCUCCUUUCUUUUGCAGAGAUGAUGUGUUCGAUGUAUUCUAUUUUAGACCGGCCAAAAGAACAUUUACCCUCUUUGGUAAAAAGCUAGUGGUGUUUGAAGAGCUCCAAUACCAUAGUGACAUGUUUACAAUGAGAUUUCAAGUCUUGGUUAUAAAUGAAUAUGUCAUCAAAGAAUACCAAAACAAAUUUCCUGAGAUGCUGAUUAAAUAUUUCAUUCAUCAUUCAAUUGAAAGUUGCAGGAGCAUUGUUAAACCCAAUUGGCAUUACCCUGAAUUCAUACAGCCUGUCAUGUGUUUUGAAGGUUGUUUUAAGGGUGUCCUCUUCUGCCACCCUAAUUUGGUGGUAUCCAACCCUCAAAUUAUUUGUAAACCAUCUUACACCCUUUAAUUCAUCCAAUAGCUCAUCUAUGACUGGCAUGGGAUCUUUUCCUUAAUGGUGAAACUAUUCAACUGUCUAUAGUCUACGCAAAACCUCCAUGUGCCAUCCUUCCUUUUCACUAGUAGGAUAGGAGAGGCAUAGGGGCUAUUACUAGCCCUUAUGAUUCCAUUUUCUUUCAUUUCCUUUAAUAUUCUUCAAUCUUCGCUUUCUG